This 497-nucleotide ribosomal RNA is filed under the name uncultured bacterium. RNAcentral's name for it is "partial 16S ribosomal RNA". It matches the Rfam family "Bacterial small subunit ribosomal RNA", at positions 28 to 507 of the family's 1533-position model. The record is from RNAcentral.
GAUGAACGCUGGCGGCGUGCCUAAUACAUGCCAGUCGAGCGAACGGAUGAGAAGCUUGCUUCUCUGAUGUUAGCGGCGGACGGGUGAGUAACACGUGGAUAACCUACCUAUAAGACUGGGAUAACUUCGGGAAACCGGAGCUAAUACCGGAUAGUAUUUUGAACCGCAUGGUUCAAAAGUGAAAGACGGUCUUGCUGUCACUUAUAGAUGGAUCCGCGCUGCAUUAGCUAGUUGGUAAGGUAACGGCUUACCAAGGCAACGAUGCAUAGCCGACCUGAGAGGGUGAUCGGCCACACUGGAACUGAGACACGGUCCAGACUCCUACGGGAGGCAGCAGUAGGGAAUCUUCCGCAAUGGGCGAAAGCCUGACGGAGCAACGCCGCGUGAGUGAUGAAGGUCUUCGGAUCGUAAAACUCUGUUAUUAGGGAAGAACAUAUGUGUAAGUAACUGUGCACAUCUUGACGGUACCUAAUCAGAAAGCCACGGCUAACUACGUG